This 73-nucleotide transfer RNA is filed under the name Camelus bactrianus (Bactrian camel). It matches the Rfam family "tRNA". Rfam says of the family: Transfer RNA (tRNA) molecules are approximately 80 nucleotides in length. Their secondary structure includes four short double-helical elements and three loops (D, anti-codon, and T loops). Further hydrogen bonds mediate the characteristic L-shaped molecular structure. tRNAs have two regions of fundamental functional importance: the anti-codon, which is responsible for specific mRNA codon recognition, and the 3' end, to which the tRNAs corresponding amino acid is attached (by aminoacyl-tRNA synthetases). tRNAs cope with the degeneracy of the genetic code in two manners: having more than one tRNA (with a specific anti-codon) for a particular amino acid; and 'wobble' base-pairing, i.e. permitting non-standard base-pairing at the 3rd anti-codon position. The record is from Rfam by way of RNAcentral. RNAcentral also lists the same sequence under 3 other names. Lineage: Eukaryota; Metazoa; Chordata; Mammalia; Artiodactyla; Camelidae.
GAAGGCAUAGCUCAAGUGCUAGAGUGGUUGCUUAGCAUGCAUGAGGCCCUGGGUUCAAUCCCCAGUACCUCCU